This 10333-nucleotide long non-coding RNA is filed under the name Amborella trichopoda. Its description in RNAcentral is "long non-coding RNA (ATRI_LNC000184)". The record is from RNAcentral. Lineage: Eukaryota; Viridiplantae; Streptophyta; Magnoliopsida; Amborellales; Amborellaceae.
UCGAUUAUAGACAGUUGAACCAAGUGAUAGUGAAAAAUAAGUAUCCAUUACCUAAAAUUAUUGAUUUAUUUGACAAUUACAAGGAUCACAAGUGUUUUAAAAAAUUGAUCUUAGAUCUGGAUACCAUCAGCUUAAGAUUAAAAGUGAAGAUGUUCCCAAGACAGCUUUUAGAACAAGGUAUGACCAUUAUGAAUAUUUAGUCAUGCCUUUUGGAUUAACAAAUGCACCGGCUGUAUUUAUGGAUUUGAUGAAUCGGAUCUUUAACCCCUUUUUGGAUAAAUUUAUUGUGGUAUUCAUCGAUGAUAUUUUAAUUUAUUCCAAGAAUCAGAACGAACAUGAGCAGCAUGUAAGAAUAAUAUUGCAAAUAUUAAGAGAAAAGAAAUUGUAUGCCAAACUUAGUAAAUGUGAAUUUUGGCUUGAACAAGUGACAUUUUUAGGACAUGUCAUAUCAAAAGAAGGUCUAUCAGUUGAUCAUUCAAAGGUUGAAGCCGUUGUUAAUUGGAAACAACGAAAUAAUGUGACUGAAGUUCGAAGCUUUUUGGGAGUGGCAGUUUAUUACAGAAAAUUUAAAGAAGAAUUUUCUCGAAUCGCAACCCCAUUGACUCGAUUGACACAGAAAAAUGUCAAAUUUGAGUAAACAAGUGAAUGUGAUGAGAGUUUUCAAUAACUAAAAGUUCGAUUAACUUCAACACCUAUUUUAACUAUUUCUGAGGGGAGUGAGGGAUUUGUGAUUUAUAGUGAUGCUUCACAUAAAGGCUUGGCCUGUGUAUUAAUACAGUAUAGGAAAGUAGUGGCAUAUGCAUCCAGACAGUUGAAAGAAUAUGAGAAAAAAUAUCCAAUUCAUGACUUAGAGGUGGCUGCAAUAGUAUUCGCUUUGAAAAUGUGAAGGCAUUAUCUAUAUGGUGAGCAAUUCAAAAUAUACACGGAUCAUAAGAGCUUGAAAUACCUCUUCUCUCUGAAAGAUUUAAAUAUACGGCAGAUAAGAUGGAUGAUUUUCUUAAAAGAUUAUGAUUGUACAAUCCAUUAUCAUUCAGGAAAAGCUAACGCUAUGGCCGACGCUUUAAGUAGAAAAUCUACGGGAGUCUUAGCUCAUCUAAUGAUCCAAAAAUGAGUUUGUUAGAGGAAAUAGUGGGUUGACAUCCGGCUCCAUCCAUUAAUGGUGUGGUAAGUAUGAUUGCCAAUAUUACGGCAGAUUCCCAAUUAAUCUAACAGAUUUGAUCAGCACAAAGGAAAGACCCUGAGCUUAUAACAAUUGUAGAAGAUGUGAAGUUGGGAAAUAGAGACGAAUUCUCUAUAUGUAGUGAGGAUUUGCUAAGAUUCAUAUGUCGGGUUUGUGUCCCGAAUGAUGAGAGUGUGAAGAAAGCUAUCUUGGAAAAAGCACAUCCCUCUCGUUAUACGAUAUAUCCGGAAAGUAUUAAAAUGUAUCAGGACCUGAAAAAAACCGUUUGGUGGAAUAAUGUGAAAAAAGAGGUAGCAUUAUAAAGUGCCUAAUAUGCCAGCAAGUAAAAGCUGAGCAUCAAAGUCCCGCUGGGUUGUUGCAGCCUUUACCCGUGCCAGAGUGGAAGUGGGAGCACAUCUCUAUAGAUUUUGUCUCUGGCUUGCCUAAAACAAAUUCAAGACAUGAUAACAUUUGGGUCAUUGUAGACCGGCUGACCAAAGCUGCCCACUUUCUGUCGAUUCGCACGACUUUCACUUUGGAUCGACUAGCCCAGUUGUAUAUUAAGGAAAUAGUGCGGUUGUAUGGAGUUCCGAUCAGUAUUGUAUCAGACAGGGAUACUCGGAUUACUUAUAAAUUUUACGCUAGGCUACAAUCAGCCAUGGGGACGAGACUCACCUUUAGCACUGCCUUUCACCCCCAAACUGAUAGACAAUCAAAGAGGACCAUCCAAACCUUGGAAUAUAUGCUGAGGGCCUGUGUCAUUGACUUUACAAGAAGCUGGGAUGACCAUUUACCCCUAAUUGAGCUUACUUAUAAUAAUAGCUUCCAAGCUAGUAUUUAGAUGGCACCAUAUGAAGCCCUAUAUGGAAGGAAAUGCAGGUCACCCAUAUGGUUGAACGAGGUUGGUGAAAGAAAGCUUUUGGGGCAGAAAUUGUCCAAGUAACCACAGAUAAGAUAGCAUUAAUUCGAGAAAGGCUCAGGACAGCUCAGAGUCGGCAAAAGAGUUAUGCCGAUAACCGACGGAGAGAUCUUGAAUUUGAGGAAGGUGAUCGAGUUUUCCUAAAGAUCUCACCAAUAAAAGGCAUUAUGAGAUUCGGCAAGAAAGGAAAGCUGAGCUCACGUUACAUCGGAUCAUUUGAAAUCCUAGAAAGAAUCGAAGGCGUCGCUUAUAGACUUGCCUUACCAUCCGAAUUGGCAAAAUUUCCAUAAUGUCUUUCAUGUAUCAUCAUUACGAUAAUAUUAGCCCGACCAAUCCCAUAUCUUGAAAUAUGAACCUUUACCGAUCAGGAAGGACCUAUCCUUCAUUGAGCAGCCAAUUUUGAUACUGGAUAGAAAGGUACAAGUGUUGUGUAAAAAGGCGAUUCUUUUGGUACGUAGAUUAUGGAAGUACCAUUCAAAAAAGGAGUCGACUUAAGAAUGAGAAGACGAAAUCAGAGAAAAAUAUCUCUAUCUUUUUAAGCAAUCAGGUACACAAAUUUAGAGGAUUAAAUUUCUUUAAAAGGGGAAAGAAUGUAAUAAUCCUAAAAUUUAAAAAAUAAAUAAUUAAAUAAAAAUAAAAAUAAAAAUAAAAAGGAAACUUUUAAUAAGUGAUGGUUCAUAUGAGUACGAUGGUCCCUAAGGACCAUCACUACUUUCAAAAGCUUUUACCUUCAUUUGGUUUAAGAUUUGUUGCUUUGGCAUGUCCUUUAGUGGACGUGGUUUUCCGGUGUUAAAGGCGAACUUUUACGCUCCACCUCAUACAUGAGGUGGAGGCGUUUUAAAAGAUUUAAGUAGGGUGAAGGGUAAGGUGUCGCCUCACAGAACUCCACUCUCGCUCUCCCUCUUACAAACACAGUGAGCUCCUCUCUCUAGCCGAAUUUUUAUCGGAAGCUCCUUCUCAAAUAUUUUAGGUAAGUGACUUCAUUAUCUGGAAAAAUAAUCCGUUCUUUUUAAAAAUGAAAUGAAAUAAUUUCUUCUGCUUAUUAUCAUGAAUUUUAGGCGCGAUAAAUUUUAUGCGCAAACGACCUCAUUAUUUUGAAAAAAUAAAUUAAUAGUAAAAUUGUGAAAUUUUAUUUACUGUUAGGAAUUUUAAAUAUUGUAAAUCAUUAGAAAAAAAAUAAUUGUUCUCCCAUAUAUUCCUUAUAUACGUAUGAGUUCUGAGGAUAACAAGAAAGCACGCUUUGAUGUUUCUCUUGGAGUAGUCCUUCUCCGACCAUCCGUUUUUAACAGCCUAGUAAUGAGGUCUUCCUUCACUUAUAUAAUUUUUACUUCUGCCUUGUAGUCGGCAAUUUCAAGCGGCUUGACCAUCCGACAAGGGUUAGUUCCUCCAAAGAAAAUAAAAAGACGAGUGCAGUAUCCGUACAAAGUAAAACUUAGGAACUCUAAACCUUGAAUCUCUUAGACCAUUUUGAAGGUCCAGAGCUAUAUAUGGUUCCGAUGAAUCAAAUCUGAUGAGCAACUGUAAGUGACCUCAUUGUCUCGAAAAAUAAUCUUUUUAAUAAAAUUUUGAUAUUUUAUCUAUGUUAGAAAUUUUAAAUACUGUAAAUUCUUAGAAAUAAAUUUAUUUUUCUUGUCUAUUGUUAGAAAAUUUUAGAUACUGUAAAAUUAUUAGAAAUAAAUGUGAUAUUUCUGCUUUUAGUAAAAUUGUGAUAUUUCUUUCUACUGUUUUUGAAUAUUUAGACAUUGUAAAAUUCAUANNNNNNNNNNNNNNNNNNNNUCCAAGGGUGGGAGAAGACAAGAGAGGGGAUUCUAAAGAAGACUGUCCGGAUGGGGGGGGGCGGUUGUGCUGCAAUAUAAGAAGUGACUGAGUCUAAAAAAUCCAAUCAAUCGCUAGCUGAGGUAGCACCAGCCUUGGCAAGGGCAUCUGUGUCUGUGUUACUCUCUCGCCAAAUGUGAUUCUAGAAGUGAGAGAGGGAGCUUGUCAGGUGGGAAAUUUCAGCAGGUAACAAGGGCAAGCAGUGGAGCCUGAAGCCCAGGUGAUAGUAUUCCGAGAGUCAUCUUUGAUUAUUAGUCCAGGGCUCCAGGAAGGGUUGAAUAGUUUGAGCCCUUCGAGGAGGGCAAGCGCCUCUGCUAAUUGGGCAUCAGCAUGGCCAAUGGUCGAGAAAGAGGCCAGAAUAGAACCUUGGUGAAUUACCUCAUUUCCCCGAAUGGAAUGCUUCUGAAAUUUGUCCACCUCCUCGACAGAAGUCGGAUGAUGAGUUUUUCCGUUCCUGAGAUUCCUCCUCCAGGUCAGCUGCAAUCUGAAAAAGAUUAGGAUUUUUGUUCGGCAGUGUAUCUUCACCAUACCAUAGAUCCCUCUAGAUGCUCACUAGGUGUCGUCAUUUGGCGAAUAAUCUAAUGUGUUUGCUGAAUUCAUUUUGUAUAAGAUUGAUGGUCUCUUCCGGAUGUGAAAAGGUUUUGUUGGAUAUCAGAUUCACCAUCUUAGGUAGCCAACCCCUUCGCAUGGUUCCAUAUUUGCUAGCGAUCACCUGAAGCCAGAGAUGGUUCUUAUUUGUCACAAAUCUCCAAAGCCGUGCUCUGUUUACCUCUCUUAGCUUUGUAGGUCCAAAGCCCCCAUCAUCAUUUAAUGUCAAACUGUGUCCCAGGCUACAAGUGAAAUCUCUCCCCUUCCCCAUUCCACAGGAAUUUCACUUGUAACCCCUCUAUUAGCAACCGGCAUCUAAUACAGGUUCAUAUGAUUCACUGCUAUAUUUGAGAGUGUGGCCUUAUCAUCAUAGUCUUUCCUCCCACAGAGGCAUAAUUCUAUUUCGUGGAUGCAACUCUUCUCGUCAUUCUUUCUACUAUAUCCCAAACAUCUUUUUGCAAAGUAGUCCCAGUUGUGUUCAGUGACUGAUCUGUGCGGCGCCUUACUCUUCAUUUUCUUAUUUCACCAAUUGUGCUUCCAAAAGCCCCCACUCCUAUGAGCUUAGGCCAUGCUAUAUUUGAUUCUUGAUUUUGAUGUUAUUUAUUAGAAAAUCAUACGGAUAGCCACAAAUCGUCAACUUGGCGUGGUUGUGCAUCCCAGGAAACCAAUAUAUCAUCACCACACUAAAGGUGGUGAGAAGAGGUAGUUCAUAUACAUUCGAGAUAAUGGAAUGUCCUGAUGAUAGGAAAGUGGCUUAGGCAGUUUUUAUGUUAAAACUUGAAGCACAACACUGGUGGCGAAUGGCAAAAGUAGUAUUGGUCAAAGAAAACAAACCCUUGACUUGGGAGGUAUUUUUAGAGGCAUUCAAUGAAAAAUAUUUCCCAGAUUUUAUUCGAGAGAAAAAAGAAAUGGAAUUUCUGAAAUUAAUCCAAGGAAACCGGAUAGUAGCACAGUACGAGGCCAAGUUUACUGAAUUGACAAAGUUUGCACCACAUAUGAUUAAUAAUGAGGCAAGAAAGGUGAAAAAAUUUGAAAGGGGUCUCAGACCAGUUAUUAGAGGAAGAAUAUCUGUCUUAAAAUUGAGAACUUAUGUUGAAAUAGGGGAUCGAGCCCAAAUUGUCGAAAAAGAUUGCGAAGAUUGCCCAAAGAUGAAAAUAAAAAAAAUCAGGUUAGACCCACACCAUCUUAUCAACAACAGUUUGAAAGGGCAAACAAGAAGCCAAGAGCCUUGCCACUUCAAAGCUCAAUAGAACCAUGUAAAAAAUGUGGAAAAACGCAUGGAUCGAGCCCUUGUUAUUAGAAUACUGGAGCAUGUUUUAAAUAUGGAAAAUUGGGGCACCAGAUUAGAGAAUGUCCUAGCUUACAGAUGCAACAGCUUCCAAAGCAAUGAGAGAUAGCUCAAAAGCCUCAGAUGAAGGGAAGAGUAUUUGCAAUCACUCAGCAAGAUGUUCAAGCCUCAAAAUCAGUGAUCCAAGGUACUCUUAUUAUCUUCCAAAAAGUAGCUCAUGUUUUGAUUGAUCCUGGAUCUACUCAUUCAUUUGUGUCACCACAUUUUGCAUGCCACUUAAAGGUAGAACCAGAACAAUUAGAAUACAUUAUAGAGGUAGCCACACCGAUGGGAAAUUCAAUUGACACCAAUAUAGUGUACAAAUCCUGUAUAAUAAAGAUGGAAGAAAAUGAAUUGUUGGUUGAUUUAAUACUCCUAAAAAUUCAAAAUUUUGAUGUAAUCUUAGGCAUAGAUUGACUUUCUGCAUACCAUGCAAGUAUUGAUUGUUACAAAAAAAUGGUUACCUUUAGUAUUCCGAAUCAACCAGUAUUUUACUUCAAUGGUAUCAAAGAAGACUUCCCAUCAUAUUUAAUCUCGUGUAUUCGAGCUAAUCGCCGCCUUCGAAAAGGGUGUCAAGGCUUUCUUGCCUAUAUCAAAGAAGAUUGGAAGGAAGAGAUAAAUUUGGAUACCACUUCGGUUAUCCGAGAAUUUCCCGACGUUUUCUCUAAAGAAUUGCCAAGAUUACCGCCUGACAGUGAAAUUGAAUUCUCUAUUGAAUUAUUGCCAAGGGUAGCCUCAAUUUCUAAGGCACCUUACAUAAUGGCACUUGCAGAACUUAAGAAACUUAAACAACAAUUGGAAAAAUUAUUUGAUAAAGGUUUUAUCAGGCCCAAUAUGUCACCUUGGGGUGCUCCGGUAUUGUUUGUUCAAAAGAAAGAUGGGACCAUGAGAUUGUGUAUCGAUUAUAGACAGUUGAACCAAGUGAUAGUGAAAAAUAAGUAUCCAUUACCUAAAAUUAUUGAUUUAUUUGAUCAAUUACAAGAAUCACAAGUGUUUUAAAAAAUUGAUCUUAGAUCUGGAUACCAUCAGCGUAAGAUUAAAAGUGAAGAUGUUCCCAAGACAGCUUUCAGAACAAGGUAUGGCUGUUAUGAAUUUUUGGUCAUGCCUUUUGGAUUAACAAAUGCACCGGCUGUAUUUAUGUAUUUGAUGAAUCAGAUCUUUAAGCCCUUUUUGGAUAAAUUUAUUGUGGUAUUCAUCGAUGAUAUUUUAAUUUAUUCCAAGAAUCGGAACGAACAUAAGCAGCAUGUAAGAAUGGUAUUGCAAAUAUUAAGAGAAAAAAAAUUGUAUGCCAAACUUAGUAAAUGUGAAUUUUGGCUUGAACAAGUGAUAUUUUUAGGACAUGUCAUAUCAAAGGAAGGUCUAUCAGUUGAUUCUUCAAAGGUUGAAACCGUUGUUAAUUGGAAACAACCAAGUAAUGUGACUGAAGUUUGAAGCUUUUUGGGAUUGGCAGUAUAUUACAAAAAAUUUGUAGAAGGAUUUUCUUGAAUCGCAACCCCAUUGACUUGAUUGACACUGAAAAAUGUCAAAUUCUGGUGGACAAGUAAAUGUGAGGAGAGUUUUCAAAAACUAAAAGUUCGAUUAACUUCAGCCCUUAUUUUAACUAUUCCUAAUGAGAGUGGGGGAUUUGUGAUUUAUAGUGAUGCCUCACAUAAAUGCUUGGGCUUUGUAUUAAUGCAAUAUGGAAAAGUAGUGGCAUAUGCAUUCAGAUAGUUGAAAGAGUAUUAGAAAAUAUCCAACUCAUGACUUAGAGGUGGCUGCAAUAGUAUACGCUUUGAAAAUGUGGAGGCAUUAUCUAUAUGUUGAGCAAUUCGAAAUAUACACGGAUCAUAAGAGCUUGAAAUACCUCUUCUCUCAGAAGGAUUUAAAUAUACGGCAGAUAAGAUGGAUGGAUUUCUUAAAAGAUUAUGAUUGUACAAUCCAUUAUCAUUCAGGAAAAGCUAACGUUGUGGCCGGCGCUCUAAGUAGAAAAUCUACGGGAGUCUUAGCUCAUCUAAUGAUCCAAGAAAUGAGAUUGUUAGAGGAACUAGUGGAUUGGCAUCUGGCUCCAUCCAUUAAUGGUGUGGUAAGUAUGAUUGCCACCACUACGGCAGAACCCCAAUUAAUCCAACAGAUUCGAUCAGCACAAAGGAAAGACUCUCAGCUCAUAAUAAUUGUAGAAGAGGUAAAGCUGGGAAAGAGAGAAAAAUUCUCUAUAUGCAGUGAGGAUUUGCUAAGAUUCAAAUGUCGGGUUUGUGUCCCAAAUGAUGAGAGUGUGAAUAAAGCUAUCUUGAAAGAAGCACAUCACUCUCGUUAUACGAUACAUCCCCGAAAGUAUUAAAAUGUAUCAGGACUUGAAAAAAAAUCUUUUGGUGGAAUAAUGUGAAAAAAGAGGUAGCACUAUUUGUGUCUAACUGCCUAACAUGCCAGCAAGUAAAAGCUGAGCAUCAAAGGCCCGCUGGGUUGUUGCAGCCUUUAGCCGUGCUAGAGUGGAAGUGGGAGCACAUCUCUAUGGAUUUUUUCUCUGGCUUGCCUAGAACAAAUUCAAGACAUGAUAGCAUUUGGGGCAUUGUAGACUGGCUGACCAAAGCUGCCCACUUUCUGUCGAUUCGCAAGACUUACACUUUAGAUCGACUGACCCAUUUGUAUAUUUAGGAAAUAGUGCGGUUGCAUGGAGUUCCGGUCAGUAUUGUAUCGGACAGGGAUACUCGGAUUACGUAUAAAUUUUGGGCUAGGCUAGAGUCAGCCAUGGGGACGAGACUCACCUUUAGCAUUGCCUUUCACCCCCAAACUGAUGGACAAUCAAAGAGGACCAUCCAAACCUUGGAAGAUAUGCUGAGGGCCUGUGUCAUUAACUUUACAGGAAGCUGAGAUGACCAUUUACCCCUGAUUGAGUUUGCUUAUAAUAAUAGCUUUCAAGCUGUAUUCAGAUGGCACCAUAUGAAGCCCUGUAUGGAAGAAAAUGCAGGUCACCCAUCUGUUGGAACGAUGUUGGUGAAAGAAAGCUUUGGGGCCAGAAAUUGUCCAGGUAACUACAGAUAAGAUAGCAUUAAUUCGUGAAAGGCUCAGGACAGCUCAGAGUCGACAAAAGAGUUAUGCCGAUAUCGAGAGAGAGAUCUUGAUUUUGAGGAAGGUGAUCGAGUUUUCCUAAAGAUCUCACCAAUGAAAGACAUUAUGAGAUUCGACAAGUAAGGAAAGCUGAGCCCAUGUUACAUCGGACCAUUGAAAUCCUAGAAAGAAUCGAAGGUGCUUAUAGACUUGCCUUACCACCCGAAUUGGCAAACGUCUAUAAUGUCUUCCAUGUAUCAUCACUACGAAAAUAUUAGUCCGACCCAUCCCAUAUAUUGAAAUAUGAACCUUUACCAAUCAGGAAGGACCUAUCCUUCAUUGAGCAACCAAUUUUGAUACUGGAUAGAAGGGUACAAGUGUUGCGCAAAAAGGAGAUUCCUUUAGUUCAUAUAUUAUGGCAAUACCAUUCAAAAGAGGAGUCGACUUGGGAACGAGAAGAUGAAAUCAGAGAAAAAUAUUAUUAUAUUUUUCAGUAAUUAGGUACACAAAUUUAGAGGACUAAAUUUGUUUAAAAGGGGGAAGAAUAUAAUAAUCCUAAAAUUUAAAAAAUAAAUAAAUAAAUAAAUAAAUAAAUAAAAAUAUAAAAAUAAAAAAGAAACUUUUAAUAAGUGAUGGUCCAUAUGAGCAUGAUGGUCCCUAAGGACCAUCACUACUUUUAAAAGCUUUUACCUUCAUUUGGUUUAAGCUUUGUUUCAUUGGCACGUCCUUUAGUGGACGUGGUUUACAUAUAUUAAAGGCAGACAUUUACGCUACACCUCAUACAUGAGGUGGGGGCGUUUUAAAAGAUUUAAGUAGAGUGAAGGGUAAGGUCUCGCCUUACAGAACUCCACUCUCGCUCUCCCUCUUACAAACACAUUGAGCUUCUCUCUCUAGCCGAAUUUUUAUCGGAAGCUCCCUCUCAAAUAUUUUAGGUAAGUGACUUCAUUAUCUUGAAAAAUAAUCCGUUCUUUUUAAAAAUGAAAUGAAAUAAUUUCUUCUGCUCAUUAUCAUGAAUUUUAGGCGCGAUAAAUUUUAUGCGCAAGCGACCUCAUUAUUUUGAAAAAAUAAACUAGUAGUAAAAUUGUGAAAUUUUAUUUACUGUUAGGAAUUUUUGAUAAUGUAAAUCAUUAGAAAAAAAACAAGUCUUUUCCCUUAUAUUCCUUAUAUACAUAUGAGUUAUGAGGACAACAGGAAAGCAGGCCUUGAUUUUUCUUUUGAAGUAGUCCUUCCCCGACCAUCCCUUUUUAACAGCCUAGUAAUGAGGUCUUCCUUCGCUUAUAUAAUUUUUACUUCUGCCAUGUAGUCGACAAUAUCAAUGGGCUUGACCAUACGACAAGGGUUAGUUCCUCCAAAGAAAAUAAAAAGGCGAGAGCAGUAACCGUUCAAAGUAAAACUUAGGGACUCGAAACCUUGAAUCUCUUAGACCAUUUUGAAGGUCCAGACCUAUAUAUGGUUCCGAUGAAUCAAAUCUGAUGAGCAAACUGUAAGUGACCUGAUUGUC